GAUGAACGCUGGCGGCGUGCCUAAUACAUGCAAGUCGAGCGAACAGACGAGGAGCUUGCUCCUCUGACGUUAGCGGCGGACGGGUGAGUAACACGUGGAUAACCUACCUAUAAGACUGGGAUAACUUCGGGAAACCGGAGCUAAUACCGGAUAAUAUAUUGAACCGCAUGGUUCAAUAGUGAAAGACGGUUUUGCUGUCACUUAUAGAUGGAUCCGCGCCUCAUUAGCUAGUUGGUAAGGUAAAGGCUUACCAAGGCGACGAUGCGUAGCCGGCCUGAGAGGGUGAUCGCCCACACUGGAACUGAGACACGGUCCAGACUCCUACGGGAGGCAGCAGUAGGGAAUCUUCCGCAAUGGGCGAAAGCCUGACGGAGCAACGCCGCGUGAGUGAUGAAGGUCUUCGGAUCGUAAAACUCUGUUAUUAGGGAAGAACAAAUGUGUAAGUAACUAUGCACGUCUUGACGGUACCUAAUCAGAAAGCCCCGGCUAACUACGUG
This 497-nucleotide ribosomal RNA is filed under the name uncultured bacterium. Its description in RNAcentral is "partial 16S ribosomal RNA". It matches the Rfam family "Bacterial small subunit ribosomal RNA", at positions 28 to 507 of the family's 1533-position model. The record is from RNAcentral.